CCUACGGGAGGCAGCAGUGAGGAAUAUUGGUCAAUGGGCUUACGCCUGAACCAGCCAAGUCGCGUGAGGGAAGACUGCCCUAUGGGUUGUAAACCUCUUUUGUCAGGGAGCAACGCCGGCUACGUUUAGCCGGACUGAGAGUACCUGAAGAAAAAGCAUCGGCUAACUCCGUGCCAGCAGCCGCGGUAAUACGGAGGAUGCGCGCUGUAUCCGGAUUUAUUGGGUUUAAGGGUUGCGAGGGGGGAAUGCCAAGUCAGCGGGAAAAUCGCGGGGCUCAACCCCCCUCCGCAGUUGAAACUGGCGUUCUUGAGUGGGCGAGAGGUAUGCGGAAUGCGUGGUGUAGCGGUGAAAUGCAUAGAGAUCACGCAGAACUCAGAUUGCGAAGGCAGCAUACCGGCGCCCAACUGACGCUGAAGCACGAAAGCGUGGGUAUCGAACAGGAUUAGAUACCCGAGUAGUC
Molecule: ribosomal RNA, 460 nt
Filed under: uncultured bacterium
Lineage: Bacteria
Description: partial 16S ribosomal RNA
Rfam family: Bacterial small subunit ribosomal RNA
Source: RNAcentral